This 493-nucleotide ribosomal RNA is filed under the name uncultured bacterium. RNAcentral describes it as "partial 16S ribosomal RNA". It matches the Rfam family "Bacterial small subunit ribosomal RNA", at positions 30 to 523 of the family's 1533-position model. The record is from RNAcentral.
AUUGAACGCUGGCGGCAUGCUUUACACAUGCAAGUCGAACGGUAACAGGUUAAGCUGACGAGUGGCGAACGGGUGAGUAAUGUAUCGGAACGUGCCCAGUCGUGGGGGAUAACGUAGCGAAAGCUACGCUAAUACCGCAUACGAUCUAUGGAUGAAAGCGGGGGAUCGCAAGACCUCGCGCGAUUGGAGCGGCCGAUAUCAGAUUAGGUAGUUGGUGGGGUAAAGGCCUACCAAGCCGACGAUCUGUAGCUGGUCUGAGAGGACGACCAGCCACACUGGGACUGAGACACGGCCCAGACUCCUACGGGAGGCAGCAGUGGGGAAUUUUGGACAAUGGGCGCAAGCCUGAUCCAGCAAUGCCGCGUGCAGGAUGAAGGCCUUCGGGUUGUAAACUGCUUUUGUACGGAGCGAAAAGGCUUCCACUAAUACUGGGGGCUCAUGACGGUACCGUAAGAAUAAGCACUGGCUAACUACGUGCCAGCCGCCGCGGUAA